UAAAAGAAAUGUGACAUUCUUAAAAAAAACAAUCUAUAUCUCUAAGCAUUUUACUAGAUGCUAAAUACUAAAAUGCCCAAGGAUUUUGUCCAAAAAGGCAGAAAAUGCCCAAAAAAAUACACUUAAAAUGCAUUUGCUUUGUAAAAAACACUGCAACUGUCACUAUGACUCAUCCAAACAUUGACAAAAUCAUUUAAUGAUAAACAUUUGAGAGGUUUAUCAUAAAUAUCCAGAGUGGAGCCCGGGGCACAGAGAUGCAGAGUCAACGCAGUCUCUCUGCAUUGAUAAACGUGCAGACGAGCGGUACAGCCGGUCGAGGCACAAGGCCGCCCAUCUAAGACAUGGUUCAACAUGGUAGUUGUAUUUUUUAAUUCGGUGCUAUGUAAUAAAGUUGAGGUUAUUUAUUUCCGCUGUGAAUUCGUGUUGGUCUAUAAUAAACCUGACUUGAUUCUAAAGGACAGAUAUAAUACGUGGGUCCUACGCAUUCCUACCUAUAACCAGGUGUGUAGACAUCUUUGACCAGCAGGGGGCGCGGGACGCCUCCAGAAACAGACCUUGUGUUAAACCACUCUGGUAAAAAGCUUCAAGAAGUUCCAACAACUUCAUUCCUCCACCAGUAACGUGAACAUCAUGUCUACAUGUAGUAGCAGUCGACGGGAGAUUGAUCAUUUUGGGACAGGUAACAAAGCUAGCAACCAGGUAAGCUAGCAGCACCUGUUGCUAGCCAAAAGCUGAGCAACCAAUUAGCGACGUCACAGGAGGCAGCAUUGACGAGGUAAAGGCGAAAAUCCAACAAAAGGCAAAAUAACACAAAAAACUAAUGCGUUUAGUCCUGCUGAACCAAACGUGUUGUUGGUGCUUACAGUAUACAGAUCUACUAUGGAGUCCAACGACAGCACGGACGAGCGGCGCAGUCAAGUAGCGUGGACGUGGGAUCAUCCUGAGAAAAAUUGCUUCCUGGAUGUGAGCCUGAAACUCUCACUCACAGAUGCUGGGCAUGUGAGAGCUGAACAGAGAGCUCCCAACACAGAGGAUGACACACGGCCUUUUCCUGGACUGACACGUCAGACUGCUCUUCGUCUGCGCCUUUCAAGAUCAUUACAUCAUCUGAAAUCCCCUGGUCAUCAGAAAGGUGUCUGCAAGUAAAAAGCAAAUGCAUAUAGUGCUGGAUUAUUGCUGCCCCACAGUUCACAAAGUGGAGCAGGACCACGACAGAAUUGUUUAGGUCAACCUCAAAUCACCAGCCAUACACAUGAAAACAAACUGAAUUCAUACCAAUGGAUUCCAGGAACAAACAGACUGGGCGUCUUGAUCAUCUGUGUGCUUGAAAGUGAGUGAAGGUCAGAGCGCAUCAUGAGCCAACCAGUUUAAUAGUGAUGAAAUCAAGGAAACGCACUGUGAUUUCCAGCUCCGCUAGAGCUGCAGUAAAUAGAAAAUUGAUAAAAGAACUUUU
RNAcentral lists this long non-coding RNA (1453 nucleotides) under Betta splendens (Siamese fighting fish). RNAcentral's name for it is "lncRNA (ENSBSLG00000001506.1)". Lineage: Eukaryota; Metazoa; Chordata; Actinopteri; Anabantiformes; Osphronemidae. The record is from RNAcentral.